GGGCGGCGGGACGGGCGCGAAAACUUUGCAAUGCGAGAAAUCGUGACAAGGGAACUCCGAGUGCCCGUAAAUUCGGGCUGUCCAUCGGUUUAAAUAACCGGUGAAGAAAGGGCCGGGCAAGACCGGUGCCAGCCGCCGCGGUAAUACCGGCGGCUCGAGUGGUGGCCACUAUUACUGGGCUUAAAGCGUCCGUAGCUGGUCUGUUAGGUCUCUGGGGAAAUCUACCGGCUUAACCGGUAGGCGUUUCAGGGAUACUGGCAGACUAGGGACCGGGAGAGGUGAGAGGUACUCCAGGGGUAGGAGUGAAAUCCUGUAAUCCUUGGGGGACCACCUGUGGCGAAGGCGUCUCACCAGAACGGCUCCGACAGUGAGGGACGAAAGCUGGGGGAGCAAACCGGAUUAGGUACCCGGGUAGUCCCAGCCGUAAACGGUGCGCGUUAGGUGUAUCGGUGACCACGAGUCACCGAGGUGCCGAAGAGAAAUCGUGAAACGUGCCGCCUGGGAAGUACGGUCGCAAGGCUGAAACUUAAAGGAAUUGGCGGGGGAGCAC
This 550-nucleotide ribosomal RNA is filed under the name uncultured archaeon. RNAcentral describes it as "bacterial SSU rRNA". It matches the Rfam family "Archaeal small subunit ribosomal RNA", at positions 325 to 879 of the family's 1478-position model. The record is from RNAcentral.